RNAcentral lists this ribosomal RNA (465 nucleotides) under uncultured bacterium. Its description in RNAcentral is "partial 16S ribosomal RNA". It matches the Rfam family "Bacterial small subunit ribosomal RNA", at positions 338 to 795 of the family's 1533-position model. The record is from RNAcentral.
CCUACGGGCGGCAGCAGUAGGGAAUAUUGCGCAAUGGGCGAAAGCCUGACGCAGCGACGCCGCGUGAGGGAUGAAGGUCUUCGGAUCGUAAACCUCUGUCAGCAGGGAAGAACGGUCACUGUGCUAAUCAGCAGUGAAUUGACGGUACCUGCAACGGAAGCACCGGCUAACUCCGUUCCAGCAGCCGCGGUAAUACGGAGGGUGCGAGCGUUUAUCGGAAUUACUGGGCGUAAAGCGCGCGGAGGCGGUAUGGCAAGUCAAGGGUGAACUCCCCGGGCUCAACGUGGGAACUGCAUUUGAUACUGGCAAACUGGAGUGUGUGAGAGGAUAGUGGAAUUCCAGGUGUAGGAGUGAAAUGCGUAGAGAUCUGGAGGAACAUCAGUGGCGAAGGCGACUCUCUGGCACAUAACUGACGCUGAGGAGCGAAAGCGUGGGUAGCAAACAGGAUUAGAUACCCGUGUAGUC